RNA transcript from Ailuropoda melanoleuca (giant panda), 7564 nucleotides. It is a transcript of the gene named neuronal cell adhesion molecule, with no coding region annotated. The record is from RefSeq and is a predicted model, not a curated record. The transcript is spliced from 33 exons. Lineage: Eukaryota; Metazoa; Chordata; Mammalia; Carnivora; Ursidae.
CAGGGUUCCGGGGGCUCAGCGGCGGUGGGCGCGGCGGAAGAACGAAUCCUUGUGAUUUUCUUCCUCAGCACCCACUACCCGUGUUUGUUGAAGACUUUGGCCAAAGCUGCUGUCAGCUGUUGGCAUCAUCCUAAGAAAAGGACAGCUUUCAAACAUCAGGGAAACUUUCAGGAGACUCUUGGCUCCAGUGGAUCUUCUGAAGGGCGAUGCUAAGAAGACGUCUGGCUUAAAGAAUUAAAAGGACAACUUCUUCAGACAGGAAGAACUUCUUUAAAGUUCCCUGCAUGAAAAUUAUUUAAACGUUGCACGCAAAUCUUUUGUGAAAGAAGAAAAGGAAAUUCAGUUUGUGGGUCUCAGCAGGAGUUCAGCUAAUGCAGCUUAAAAUAAUGCCGAAAAAGAAGCGCUUAUCUGCAGGCAGGGUGCCCCUGAUUCUCUUCCUGUGCCAGAUGAUUAGUGCCCUGGACGUACCUCUUGAUCCAAAACUUCUUGAAGACUUGGUACAGCCCCCAACCAUUACUCAACAGUCUCCAAAAGAUUACAUUAUUGACCCUCGAGAGAAUAUCGUAAUCCAGUGUGAGGCCAAAGGGAAACCGGCUCCAAGCUUCUCCUGGACCCGAAAUGGGACGCAUUUUGACAUAGAUAAGGACCCUCUCGUCACCAUGAAGCCCGGCUCAGGAACCCUCACGAUCAACAUCAUGAGUGAAGGGAAAGCGGAGACCUACGAAGGGGUCUAUCAAUGUACAGCCAGGAAUGAGCGUGGAGCGGCAAUUUCUAAUAAUAUUGUUGUCCGUCCUUCCAGGUCACCGUUGUGGACCAAAGAAAAACUUGAACCAAUAACACUUCGAAAUGGCCAGUCUCUGAUCCUUCCCUGCAGACCCCCGCUUGGAUUACCACCACCUAUAAUAUUCUGGAUGGAUAAUUCUUUCCAGAGACUUCCACAAAGUGAAAGGGUUUCUCAAGGUCUGAACGGAGACCUUUACUUCUCCAAUGUUCUCCCAGAGGAUACCCGUGAAGACUAUAUCUGCUAUGCCAGAUUUAAUCACACGCAAACCAUACAGCAGAAGCAACCCAUUUCCGUGAAGGUUAUUUCAGUGGAUGAAUUGAAUGACACCAUAGCUGCUAAUUUGAAUGACACUGAGUUUUAUAGUGCGAAAUCAAGUAGAGAGAGGCCACCAACCUUUUUAACUCCAGAAGGUAAUGCCAGUCACAAGGAGGAAUUAAGAGGGAACGUCCUUUCACUGGAAUGCAUUGCAGAGGGACUGCCUACCCCAAUUAUUUACUGGAUAAAAGAAGAUGGAACACUGCCCAUCAACCGGACAUUUUAUAAGAACUUCAAGAAAACUCUGCAAAUCAUUCAGGUUUCAGAAGCAGACUCUGGAAAUUACCAGUGUAUAGCCAAAAACUCACUGGGAGCUAUCCAUCAUACCAUUUCUGUCACAGUUAAAGCGGCUCCAUACUGGAUCAUGGCACCUCAAAACCUGGUACUGUCCCCAGGAGAGGACGGGAGGCUGAUCUGCAGAGCUAAUGGCAACCCCAAGCCCAGAAUUAGCUGGUUAUCCAACGGAGUCCCAAUAGAAAUUGCUCCUGAUGACCCCAGCAGAAAAAUAGAUGGCGAUACCAUCAUUUUUUCGAGCGUUCAAGAAAGAUCAAGUGUGGUUUAUCAGUGCAACGCCUCUAACGAAUAUGGAUAUUUACUGGCAAACGCAUUUGUGAAUGUGCUGGCCGAGCCACCACGAAUCCUUACAGCUGCAAAUACACUCUAUCAGGUCAUUGCAGACAGGCCUGCUUUGCUGGACUGUGCCUUCUUCGGGUCUCCCCUGCCGACCAUUGAGUGGUUCAAGGGAGCUAAAGGUAAUGCCCUUCGUGAAGAUAGUUAUGUUUUCCACAAAAAUGGCUCUUUGGAAAUUCCUGUGGCCCAGAAGGACAGCACGGGAACUUACACAUGUGUUGCAAGGAAUAAAUUAGGAAUGGCAAAGAAUGAAGUUCACUUAGAAAUCAAAGAUGCAACAAGGAUCAUCAAACAGCCCGAGUAUGCAGUCGUGCAACGAGGGGGCACAGUGUCCUUCGAAUGCAGAGUGAACCAUGAUCACACCUUAAUCCCCACCAUCACGUGGCUGAAGGACAACGGUGAGCUGCCCAAUGACGGAAGGUUCACUGUGGACAAGGAACAUUUGGUGGUGGCUGAUGUAAGGGACGACGAUGGUGGGACCUACACGUGUGUGGCCAACACAACUCUGGACAACGUUUCUGCCAGUGCUGUGCUGAGCGUUGUUGCUCCUACUCCAACUCCAGCUCCUAUUUACGAUGUCCCAAAUCCUCCCUUUGAUUUAGAAUUGACGGAUCAACUCGACAAAAGUGUUCAGCUGUCGUGGACGCCAGGCAAUGACAACAACAGCCCAAUUACAAAAUUCAUCAUUGAAUAUGAAGAUGCAAUGCACGAGGCAGGACUGUGGCACCACCAAACCGAGGUUUCUGGAAUGCAGACCACAGCCCAGCUGAAGCUGUCACCUUACGUGAACUACUCCUUCAGGGUCAUGGCCGUGAACAGCCUGGGGCGGAGCUUGCCCAGCGAGGCAUCCGAACAGUAUUUGACCAAAGCUGCAGAACCUGAUACAAAUCCCACGGCUGUGGAAGGACUGGGAUCAGAGCCUGAUAAUUUGGUGAUUACCUGGAAGCCCUUGAACGGUUUCGAAUCUAACGGGCCGGGCCUUCAGUACAAAGUGAGCUGGCGCCAGAAAGAUGGCGACGACGAAUGGACGUCCGUGGUGGUGGCAAAUGUAUCCAAGUAUAUUGUCUCGGGCACGCCAACCUUCGUUCCAUACCUGAUCAAAGUGCAGGCCCUGAAUGACGUGGGAUUUGCUCCAGAGCCAGCUGUGGUCAUGGGGCAUUCUGGAGAAGACCUCCCAAUGGUGGCUCCUGGAAACGUGCGUGUGAAUGUGGUGAACAGUACCUUAGCUGAGGUGCACUGGGACCCCGUACCUCUGAAAAGUAUCCGAGGACACCUGCAAGGCUAUCGGAUUUACUACUGGAAGGCACAGAGCUCAUCUAAGAGAAACAGACGCCACCUUGAGAAAAAGAUCCUCACUUUCCAGGGCAGCAAGACUCACGGCAUGCUGCCUGGGCUGGAGCCCUUCAGCCACUACACGCUGAACGUCCGCGUGGUCAACGGGAAAGGGGAGGGCCCGGCCAGCCCCGACAGAGUCUUUAACACUCCAGAAGGAGUGCCCAGUGCUCCGUCCUCUUUGAAGAUUGUUAACCCGACACUAGAUUCCCUCACUCUGGAAUGGGACCCACCAAGCCGCCCGAAUGGCAUUUUGACUGAGUACACCUUAAAAUAUCAGCCAAUUAACAGCACCCACGAAUUAGGCCCACUGGUGGAUCUGAAAAUUCCUGCCAACAAGACGCGCUGGACUUUAAAGAAUUUAAAUUUCAGCACGCGGUAUAAGUUUUAUUUCUAUGCACAGACAGCGGCAGGAUCCGGAAGUCAAAUAACGGAGGAGGCGGUGACAACUGUGGAUGAAGGUAAGAUGGCUGGUAUUCCUCCACCCGAUGUAGGUGCAGGCAAAGCAAUGGCGAGCCGGCAGGUGGACAUUGCGACUCAGGGCUGGUUCAUCGGUCUAAUGUGUGCUGUCGCUCUCCUUAUCUUAAUUUUGCUGAUUGUUUGCUUCAUCAGAAGAAACAAGGGUGGUAAAUAUCCAGUCAAAGAGAAGGAAGACGCUCAUGCGGAUCCUGAAAUUCAGCCUAUGAAGGAAGACGAUGGCACUUUCGGAGAAUACAGGUCUCUUGAAAGUGAUACCGAAGACCACAAGCCUUUGAAAAAAGGCAGCCGAACACCUUCAGACAGGACAGUGAAGAAAGAAGAUAGUGAUGACAGCCUAGUUGACUAUGGAGAGGGGGUGAAUGGCCAGUUCAAUGAGGACGGCUCCUUUAUUGGACAAUACAGUGGUAAGAAAGAGAAAGAACCGGUGGAAGGAAACGAAAGCUCAGAAGCACCUUCUCCUGUCAAUGCCAUGAAUUCCUUUGUUUAAUCUGUAAACGCUCUGCCAAUAUCCCAUUUCUCUAGAAUGUUGAUCUUAAGCACUCGUUUGUCUGCCUUCUCAUACCAGGAACACACAGGCAGAAAGUAUGUGUUCUGCUGUUGAUAUUAUGAGAGCGGUGCAAACAAGAACAUAACUCAGAUGAUUUGUUCAUGUGAACUGCAGUGCAAAGUGCAUCCUUUUUCAUUCACAAUAGGUAUUCUUGUUCAGAACUGAUAAAAAAAAUAAUAAUACAGCAUCAUCAACCAAUCACAUUAUUUGCUUUUCGGGAUACAGUUCAAUACGAUGCAUGAAAAAUGCUACACAUAAAGGAAUACCUGUGUACCUUAUCAAAACAUGGUUUGAUACUUUACGAUUAUACUCUCUUCGGCUGAACCCCCGAAACACGAAUUCCGUUUUCAUUGUCAGGAGUGUUACUGUAGUAUUCUCUAGAACUCCAAUGUCUUUGUGGGCAUUGUUUUGAAAUUGGUGACUCUGUGUCUAGCUGUCGUUAGUCUUUUUGGGAGACUGUUAGCAACAGUAUGUACAGGAUAUCCUUGCUAUAUGAGUUCAUGACGACCAUCGCAUUUGCUGAUGCUUUGCUGAGACUCUGUGACCGGCCUCUGCCCCUUUUCCUCCGUAGCCUUCUUCCUUCUCCGGGUAUUACCGCAGCACAGUGUUCGACUUCUCACAUCUUCUCUAUGGUCAGUUGUUUUUAGGCAUAAACAAUGUGUAUCGCAAUGCAUUUUGGCACGUACGCCAGACCGAAAGAAUCGAAAACGAAUCACUCCACUUCGGUUUCAAAAAUGAUUCCAGAAAGCACAGGGCAAGACACAUGCAGUGCCUUCAGACAAUAAGCAUUCCACAACCCGCUGCCUUCCGCGGACGCAGAGUCCUAGCUCCCUGUCAUGGUCCCAAAGUAACUUCUAGAAAGCAGAGGUCAUGGAAAUGGCCAAUGCUGAAAGGAAGGGAAUGUGAAAAUAAAAUUAAUCAGACAGUUGAUGUUAGGGAGCAUUUCCCCGUAUGUAUAAAAAGAAAAAGCCUUAGCACCACUUGCAGAGCAUGCUGAUUUUGUGGGCUUUCUGGUUUCUAUUCAAACAAGCCAAUUGGGUCAGAAGGCGGUCGAUUCCGUAGGGAAUUUUUGUUAAAAAAAAAAAAAAAAAAAAAAAAAAAAAGAAGCUAUUCCCAAACCAGAAGCAGACAACAGCAUGCCAACAGGAAUGCUUUUCUCCAGGCCUUUACCUAGGUGGCAGCUUUGGAAACUCUCUGGCAGCAUUGAACAAUGUGUAUGCAAAUUACUAUGGACACAUUUCCGACUCUCAGAAACCUGACGAGUGCUAACAAGGUGAACAGUCAAAGGGAUUACAUCUGCAGUUUCCAAAACAAACCUACACAUCCUACCGUAUUCACCAACGCUAUCUAUCAAAUGGUUUACCUCCAAAUAUGAAAUCCUCUAACAACCUAUGGUUGAAGGAAUGCUCAGUUUCAUUUGCCAAUAAAUUGGUUUCUCAUAACUUGCAUCAAGUUUAAUUUUAAGUAAAGCUUUUUAUAUGUAGAUAUUUUGUUGAAUUUGUAAAUACACUGAAAAGGUGUAGAUGCUAUAUGGUUAGAGGUGUUACGUACGAAUAAACAUGCAACCAGUGUUGACGUCGUACUGUCUAAGAAGUUAGCUCAUGAAUACAGUGCAUGGGAUCAGAAAAGCAUUUCCUUAAAUACCUUUUGGGUUUUUAUUUUCCCUUUUUUGCUGUGAAACUGAAAUAGUGAAUUCUUCGACAUAUUGACAGUGAGUUUCUAGAUAGAAUCUUCAGAGCUUUGUCUGUGGGGCUCAGUAGGCAUCUUUGCUCUGUGUAGGCAAAGCCCAGUUUGAAGCCAUCCCAGGUGAAGAUGGCCCUAACUAUUUCCACGGCUCCAUAUUCCCUUUUCACAGACCAAACGUGCUAAUGGAAAUACAGAAAGACAAGACAGGCUUGCCUGGGCACCAGUGAGCACAAAGAUAAAAGUGACUCUAAGUUUGCCCAUGUUUGGGGUGGGGAGAGGACAAUAAAAGUACAGUUUCUACUCUUCUGGAACGGUAGACACUAGAGUAAUCUGUGCAUGAAGGGGUCACCUCUGUAAUAGUGCAACAGAUUUUGUAUUAAAAAUUAAAUGUGGUUUUAAACGUCCCUCUCUCUUUUGUAAUAAGUCAUGUUCCUAGUGGAGUGUGAAUGUCCAAAGUAACAGUGUAUUGAAGAGUACAAGCAGAUAUGACUGGAUUUCCAUAAAAAAAAAAUCACUAUUAAACCGUCUUGAUCUCUUUGUGAUCUUGAACUUUUUCCAACAUCUAUUUCCUAAUGUUUUCAAAUAGUGCAGAGUUUUAUUUUUGCCUCUGAAAGGCUGUGACAUGAAGAGAAAAUUUCACAGAGAACCGAACGUGGUAUACUGCGGAACGAAUGAAGUACUACGGGCAUGCCAAGAAAUUUUCAACGAAAAGCAGGUGGAGGCACGGCCAGCCUUUUGAGAAACAGUCGGAGAAAUCAGGUGCUGCUUGCUUUGCUGAAGCCGGACCUCCACUGGCCUGGUUCCCAGGUGCCUGCUGUCGGCCUGUCCUCCACCCUCCUCAGCCCCGGCAACGUGGAUUCCUUUCCCGCUCUGCUCAGUGAGACAGUUUGGGCAUUUGCAAGUAUUACGGGUCUGUCACCCACCCCCUCCUCUCCAGCCCUGACUUUCUCCCUGUCUCAGACUCCACCCGAUCACUCACAGCUGUGUGACACGGAGGGGCAGGCACGUUGGAAGCCAGACCACAAAAAGCAGCGGUCCACUGGGGCCUUCCCGCUCGGACAGUUUAUAAGGGCCCUGAUUUACUUGUAGUGCCUGAUUUUGGAAACGGCUUGCGGAGGCAAGGGAGAGAGAUUCAAAGAAUUUUCACCCCAAGUAAGGCCACCUCUCCCUCCCAGUUUUUCUACAAACUACCACCAGAGGGCUCCCGUGCUUUAUUCAGCGCGAAGGAAACUGCUGGAACAUGAAGCCUCUGGAAAAAAAAUAGUGCAAACCUCUUUUCAUAAGCAGACCGGGGUCUGGCGGUGCAGAGAACGAUUGCCUGCUGCGGCCGGAGAAAAUGGGAUUUGCAACUUUCUCUGACCAGUUCACACCUUUCAGGGGGUAAAUGAAUAAACAAACUUCGGCGUACAUACUGAUAUUCAGACCAAUGAAAUACUAAUCCACAAUAAGAAGGAAAAAACUCCUGAUAGAAGUGUCUCACUCCACUGAGUGAGAGAAGCCAAACAAAGAAAGUUUCAUUUAUAAGAAACUCUGGAACAGGCAAAAACCAACCUAUAAUGACUGAAAGCCUUUCGGGGAUUGCCUGGGGCUGGGGACACGGGGUGGGGAUUUACUACCAAGGGGCUGAGGGAACUUUUAGGGAUGAUGGAAAUGGUCUAGAUUUUGAUUGUGGUGGUGUUUACAGGGGUGUGUGCAUUUGUCAGGACUCAAAACCAUAUACUUAAAAUGGAUAUGUUUUAUUGUUAUAAGUUAUAUCUCAAUAAAAUUGGUUUUAAACAAAAAAUAUAAAA